RNAcentral lists this ribosomal RNA (573 nucleotides) under uncultured bacterium. RNAcentral describes it as "partial 16S ribosomal RNA". It matches the Rfam family "Bacterial small subunit ribosomal RNA", at positions 357 to 922 of the family's 1533-position model. The record is from RNAcentral.
UGGGAAUUUGGACAAUGGGCGAAAGCCUGAUCCAGCAAUGCCGCGUGUGUGAAGAAGGCCUUCGGGUUGUAAAGCACUUUUGUCCGGAAAGAAAUCCUUGGCUCUAAUACAGUCGGGGGAUGACGGUACCGGAAGAAUAAGCACCGGCUAACUACGUGCCAGCAGCCGCGGUAAUACGUAGGGUGCAAGCGUUAAUCGGAAUUACUGGGCGUAAAGCGUGCGCAGGCGGUUUGCUAAGACCGAUGUGAAAUCCCCGGGCUCAACCUGGGAACUGCAUUGGUGACUGGCAGGCUAGAGUAUGGCAGAGGGGGGUAGAAUUCCACGUGUAGCAGUGAAAUGCGUAGAGAUGUGGAGGAAUACCGAUGGCGAAGGCAGCCCCCUGGGCCAAUACUGACGCUCAUGCACGAAAGCGUGGGGGAGCAAACAGGAUUAGAUACCCUGGUAGUCCACGCCCUAAACGAUGUCAACUAGUUGUUGGGGAUUCAUUUCCUUAGUAACGUAGCUAACGCGUGAAGUUGACCGCCUGGGGAGUACGGUCGCAAGAUUAAAACUCAAAGGAAUUGACGGGGUCAU